This 880-nucleotide ribosomal RNA is filed under the name Peniophorella subpraetermissa. RNAcentral's name for it is "partial large subunit ribosomal RNA". It matches the Rfam family "Eukaryotic large subunit ribosomal RNA", at positions 66 to 964 of the family's 3401-position model. The record is from RNAcentral. Lineage: Eukaryota; Fungi; Basidiomycota; Agaricomycetes; Hymenochaetales.
UAACAAGGAUUCCCCUAGUAACUGCGAGUGAAGCGGGAAGAGCUCAAAUUUAAAAUCUGGCGGUUCUGCCGUCCGAGUUGUAAUCUGGAGAAGCGUUUUCUGUGCUGGACCGUGCAUAAGUGUCUUGGAAUAGGACGUCAUAGAGGGUGAGAAUCCCGUCUUUGGCACGGACUACCAGUGCUCUGUGAUACGCUCUCAAAGAGUCGAGUUGUUUGGGAAUGCAGCUCAAAAUGGGUGGUAAAUUCCAUCUAAAGCUAAAUAUAGGCGAGAGACCGAUAGCGAACAAGUACCGUGAGGGAAAGAUGAAAAGCACUUUGGAAAGAGAGUUAAACAGUACGUGAAAUUGUUGAAAGGGAAACGCUUGAAGUCAGUCGCGUUGUCCAGGACUCAACCUUAGUUUUCUUUGGUGUAUUUCCUGGUUAACGGGUCAACAUCAAUUUUGAUCGGUGGACAAAGGCAGGGGAAAUGUGGCACCCUCGGGUGUGUUAUAGUCUCUUGUCAUAUACACUGGUUGGGAUUGAGGAUAUCACGCCCUCGGCGGUAGGAUGUUGGCAUAAUGGCUUUAAGCGACCCGUCUUGAAACACGGACCAAGGAGUCUAACAUGCCUGCGAGUGUUAGGGUGGUAAACCCUUGCGCGUAAUGAAAGUGAAAGUUGGGACCUCUUUGAGGGCACCGACGCCCGGCCUUGAACUCUUGUGACGGUGCUGCGGUAGAGCAUGUAUGUUGGGACCCGAAAGAUGGUGAACUAUGCCUGAAUAGGGCGAAGCCAGAGGAAACUCUGGUGGAGGCUCGUAGCGAUUCUGACGUGCAAAUCGAUCGUCAAAUUUGGGUAUAGGGGCGAAAGACUAAUCGAACCAUCUAGUAGCUGGUUCCUGCCGA